UAGGGAAUAUUGGACAAUGGGGGCAACCCUGAUCCAGCAAUGCCGCGUGAGUGAUGAAGGCCUUAGGGUUGUAAAGCUCUUUUACCCGGGAUGAUAAUGACAGUACCGGGAGAAUAAGCCCCGGCUAACUCCGUGCCAGCAGCCGCGGUAAUACGGAGGGGGCUAGCGUUGUUCGGAAUUACUGGGCGUAAAGCGCACGUAGGCGGCGAUUUAAGUCAGGGGUGAAAGCCCGGUGCUCAACACCGGAACUGCCUUUGAGACUGGAUUGCUUGAAUCACGGAGAGGUGGGUGGAAUUCCGAGUGUAGAGGUGAAAUUCGUAGAUAUUCGGAAGAACACCAGUGGCGAAGGCGGCCCACUGGACGUGUAUUGACGCUGAGGUGCGAAAGCGUGGGGAGCAAACA
Molecule: ribosomal RNA, 402 nt
Filed under: uncultured Sphingobium sp.
Lineage: Bacteria; Pseudomonadati; Pseudomonadota; Alphaproteobacteria; Sphingomonadales; Sphingobiaceae
Description: bacterial SSU rRNA
Rfam family: Bacterial small subunit ribosomal RNA
Source: RNAcentral